This 1899-nucleotide ribosomal RNA is filed under the name Clostridioides difficile. Its description in RNAcentral is "23S ribosomal RNA". It matches the Rfam family "Bacterial large subunit ribosomal RNA", at positions 1076 to 2925 of the family's 2925-position model. Lineage: Bacteria; Bacillati; Bacillota; Clostridia; Peptostreptococcales; Peptostreptococcaceae. The record is from RNAcentral.
UGGGAUUGCACAGACAACCAGGAUGUUGGCUUAGAAGCAGCCACUCAUUCAAAGAGUGCGUAAUAGCUCACUGGUCGAGUGAUCCUGCGCCGAAGAUUUCCGGGGCUAAAACUUACUACCGAAGCUACGGCAUCAGUAAUGAUGGGUAGGGGAGCUUCCCAUACGGGUUGAAGCAUGACUGUAAGGACAUGUGGACAGUAUGGGAGUGAGAAUGUUGGCAUGAGUAGCGAGAUGUGGGUGAGAAUCCCACAGGCCGUAAACCCAAGGUUUCCAGGGGAAGGUUCGUCCGCCCUGGGUUAGUCGGGACCUAAGCUGAGGCCGAAAGGCGUAGGUGAUGGACAACAGGUUGAUAUUCCUGUACUACCGAUAACCGUUUGAGAGAAGGGAUGACACAGUAGGAUAAGCUAAGCACACUGUUGGUUAUGUGUGCCCAAGCAUUGAGGCAGUCAAAGUAGGCAAAUCCGCUUUGAUAAUGCUGGGAUGUGAUGGGGAGCGAAAUUUAGUAGCGAAGUAGCUGAUUUCACACUGUCAAGAAAAGUCUCUAUCGAGGUUAAAGGUACCCGUACCGCAAACCGACACAGGUGGGUGAGGAGAGUAUCCUAAGGCCAGCGAGAGAACUGUUGUUAAGGAACUCGGCAAAAUGACCCCGUAACUUAGGGAUAAGGGGUGCCACCAUUAGGUGGCCGCAGAGAAUAGGCCCAAGCGACUGUUUACCAAAAACAUAGGUUUCUGCUAAGUCGCAAGACGAUGUAUAGGAGCUGACGCCUGCCCGGUGCUGGAAGGUUAAGGGGAUCUGUUAGAGNNNNNNNNNNNNNNNNNNNNNNNNNNNNNNNAAUCGAAGCAGUGAACUUAAGCCCCAGUAAACGGCGGCCGUAACUAUAACGGUCCUAAGGUAGCGAAAUUCCUUGUCGGGUAAGUUCCGACCCGCACGAAAGGCGUAACGAUUUGGGCACUGUCUCAACAACAGACUCGGUGAAAUUGUAAUUCCGGUGAAGAUGCCGGAUACCUGCGACAGGACGGAAAGACCCCAUGGAGCUUUACUGUAGCUUGACAUUGGGUCUUGGUACUACAUGUACAGGAUAGGUGGGAGGCUUUGAAACCAGGACGCCAGUUUUGGCGGAGCCAUCCUUGGGAUACCACCCUUGUAGUACUGGGACUCUAACCAUAGGCCAUGAAUCUGGUCUUGGGACACUGUCAGGUGGGCAGUUUGACUGGGGCGGUCGCCUCCCAAAAGGUAACGGAGGCGCUCAAAGGUUCUCUCAGUACGGUCGGAAAUCGUACGUAGAGUGUAAAGGCAAAAGAGAGCUUGAUUGCAAGACAUACAGGUCGAGCAAGGAUGAAAAUCGGACUUAGUGAUCCGGUGGUUCUGCGUGGAAGGGCCAUCGCUCAACGGAUAAAAGCUACCCUGGGGAUAACAGGCUUAUCUCCCCCAAGAGUCCACAUCGACGGGGAGGUUUGGCACCUCGAUGUCGGCUCAUCACAUCCUGGGGCUGUAGUAGGUCCCAAGGGUUGGGCUGUUCGCCCAUUAAAGUGGUACGCGAGCUGGGUUCAGAACGUCGUGAGACAGUUCGGUCCCUAUCCGUCGCAGGCGUAGGAAAUUUGAGAAGACCUGUCCUUAGUACGAGAGGACCGGGAUGGACGUACCUCUGGUGUACCAGUUGUNNNNNNNNNNNNNNNNNNNNNNNNNNNNNNNNNNNNNNNNNCUGCCAAGGGCAUGGCUGGGUAGCUAUGUACGGAAUGGAUAAGCGCUGAAAGCAUCUAAGCGCGAAGCCAACUUCAAGAUAAGAUUUCCCACCGCAAGGGUAAGACCCCAGAAAGACUAUCUGGUUGAUAGGUCGAAGGUGUAAGUGCAGCAAUGUAUUUAGCUUAUCGAUACUAAUAGGUCGAGGACUUGACCAA